GACGAACGCUGGCGGCGUGCUUAACACAUGCAAGUCGAACGAAGAGCGAUGGAAGCUUGCUUCUCUCAAUCUUAGUGGCGAACGGGUGAGUAACGCGUAAUCAACCUGCCCUUCAGAGGGGGACAACAGUUGGAAACGACUGCUAAUACCGCAUACGAUCUAACCUCGGCAUCGAGGAUGGAUGAAAGGUGGCCUCUAUUUAUAAGCUAUCACUGAAGGAGGGGAUUGCGUCUGAUUAGCUAGUUGGAGGGGUAACGGCCCACCAAGGCGAUGAUCAGUAGCCGGUCUGAGAGGAUGAACGGCCACAUUGGGACUGAGACACGGCCCAGACUCCUACGGGAGGCAGCAGUGGGGAAUCUUCCGCAAUGGACGAAAGUCUGACGGAGCAACGCCGCGUGAGUGAUGACGGCCUUCGGGUUGUAAAGCUCUGUUAAUCGGGACGAAAGGCCUUCUUGCGAAUAGUUAGAAGGAUUGACGGUACCGGAAGAGAAAGCCACGGCUAACUACGUG
RNAcentral lists this ribosomal RNA (510 nucleotides) under uncultured bacterium. RNAcentral's name for it is "partial 16S ribosomal RNA". It matches the Rfam family "Bacterial small subunit ribosomal RNA", at positions 28 to 507 of the family's 1533-position model. The record is from RNAcentral.